UUUGAGGGGAAUGUUGUUUGGCUCGAGGUCAUUAGAAACCAUGGAUCUUUAUCUCUCUCUCUCUCUCUAUAUGUAUGUAUAUAUAUUGAUGUAUGUAAAUGAUGUUGUCAUGUUGUAAUCAAACCAUUUGAUCAACAGAUCCAUCAUCUAUGGUCUUUGUUGAUCAAUGAGUUUUAGAUUAAUUAUAUAAAGUGUUAAAGAGAGUAUCUUGAUCAUUGGAUCUGGUGUGCUCGGACCAGGCUUCAUUCCCCCCAAU
RNAcentral lists this microRNA precursor (256 nucleotides) under Helianthus annuus (common sunflower). Its description in RNAcentral is "mir-166 microRNA precursor". It matches the Rfam family "mir-166 microRNA precursor family". From Rfam's summary of the family: This family represents the plant microRNA (miRNA) precursor mir-166. Animal miRNAs are transcribed as ~70nt precursors and subsequently processed by the Dicer enzyme to give a ~22nt product. The record is from RNAcentral. Lineage: Eukaryota; Viridiplantae; Streptophyta; Magnoliopsida; Asterales; Asteraceae.